UCCCUGGUGGUCUAGUGGCUAGGAUUUGGCACUUUCACCACCGUGGCCCGGGUUCAAUUCCCGGUCAGGGAA
Bos taurus (domestic cattle) is the source of this 72-nucleotide non-coding RNA. The record is from Rfam. Lineage: Eukaryota; Metazoa; Chordata; Mammalia; Artiodactyla; Bovidae.